GCGUGGCCUCUCCGCGGGCCCGGGGGCUCCGAGGCCGGGGCGAGGCCCGGUGAGACCCGCGCGCGGCCGGAGCGGGUGGAGGCCCGCCUGGGAGGUGGGGAGUGGGGGAGGGGGGAGGGAGGAAGGAGGAGGAGGAGGAGGAGGGGACAACUUCUUGUCCCUUAUUAAGUCACCUGGGAGGGCGACUGAUCCGUGUCCUUUGUACAGAACCGCGGGAGAAAACGGAGGCUCAAACGGAGGCCGGCGGGGGUCGAGGCUGGACGGUGUGGGGUGGGGGAGGCAGUUCUGCCACGAGGACAAUUUUUUUUGGGGGUGGGAGUGUGACUUAAGACAGGUGCGGAGUCCUUGAGGAAGGGUCCCCAACGCCACCAGCCUUUAGCCUCGAAUCCCUGGCGGCAGGGUAGAGGCCCAAAGAGGAGGCCCAGCCUCCUCCGGGAGUGGAGGCUUGAGGGCGCGCGCAGCGUCCGAUUCUUGUGCCGCGCGCGCAAAUUCCUGACGUCUCCCGGCUGUGUGUUUUGGAGUCUCCUGUUUUUCGGGGCCUCUCCCGAAGCCACCGCAGCGCGGCUCGGGGACAAGGACAGGACCGGGCCCCCGCCGCUGGAGCGCGGACGCCCGGGUGACCCGGACGCGGGGAGGAAGAUCGGGACGCCUGGAGGCCACAGCGGAACCUCCCGGGCCUCCUCCGCUGAGUCGCGCUGGAGGUCGCAGGGUCUUCUCAUCAAGCCUCCCUCCUCGGCGACCCUGCCACUGCGACCUCCACCCCCUCCGAAAAGCCAUCGAUCCCUCUCGACACCCGGCCGCCACCGUGGAACCCAGAGACGCGCGACAAGUUGUAAAUAAACCCGUUUUUUUCUUUCGUCGUUAGAAAAAAACGCAAUUCGUUUGCAAUUUGUCAACCCGCCUGGGGGGAAAAAAAAACGCUCUCUACCGGGCCUACCUGGUUUUCUCUCCGCAAAUCCUGGCUCACGGGGCCCGCGUAGACGCGGACGUUCCCGAAUCCCGGGUUGGUGAGGGGGCAGAGGGGGGGAACGAAGGCGUUUUUUUUUUGUUUUUUUGCGGGUUUUUUGUUGUUGUUGUUAUUUUGCGUUUUUUGGUUGUUUUUUUUUUUUUGCUUUUUUCCAAAACAACGAAUUUCCUUCCUCGUUUUCCGGUCAAGGAGAGGUGAGGACGGCCACACCCCAAGCAAAGGGGGCCCUGAGCGCCGAGCCUUUUCCCCUCUCCUUCUCUGUCUCGUUGUGAGUUCGAGGCUGGCCACCGCGCAAUGAAAGAUUCCAAACGGCCCGGGUUUGAUUGAACACGGAUCCGGGCGCUGUUGUCCGCGUCUACGCGGGGAACCGAGAGGCUGCAGCCUCCCCAUUCUUAUGGAAAUGCCACUAAACGGAUUGUGACUCGAGUUUGGGGGCCGCUGGGGGAUGCAAGGGGGGAAACU
Molecule: long non-coding RNA, 1429 nt
Filed under: Microcebus murinus (gray mouse lemur)
Lineage: Eukaryota; Metazoa; Chordata; Mammalia; Primates; Cheirogaleidae
Description: lncRNA (ENSMICG00000048326.1)
Source: RNAcentral